AUGACGUUUGAUCAAAAUUCGGUUCCCCAAGAUUUGAGGCCUUUAAAUGUAGCGAGGUCUGUGGCUGAGGAGCCCCCCCGCAUUGCAUUGGCUACUUCAGCUGGGUUUAUACCCAAUUUGGCUCAAGGUAGUAGUCCUAUGUAUUACCCUGGGCCGGUUUCGGAGGCGGGGUAUGUUGGUUUAGGGUAUGGGAAUCCGGUGUCCACAUGGGGGCCGAGGAUGCCUGUGACGGUGGGGCAUCAGGGUGUGAGCCCUGCGAUGGGAGUUGGAAUCGGUUACAGUCCUAAUUUGGGGAGUAGGGUUGUUGGGAAUGCUGUUGAUCUUGUGAGCUCUCCUGCUACAGCUGGAGCUGGGCCUUAUGUGUGUAGUUCGAAUAUGGGGAAUAUGGUUGUUGGUAAUGGUAUGGAUCAGGGUGUUAGUGAUAUGUCAGCUCGGUUUGGUUAUAGUACCAAUUUAGGCAGUAAGGGCAAUAUUGCUGAUCAUGAUCAAGCCAGUGAUGAUGGUGGAGAUGAUUCUGUGUCAGGGAAGAAAAUAAAGCUGCUGUGCAGUUUUGGAGGCAAGAUUUUGCCCAGACCAAGUGAUGGGAUGUUGAGAUAUGUUGGAGGACAUACAAGGAUUAUUAGUGUUCGGAGAGAUGUGAACCUGAACGAGCUAGUGCAGAAAAUGGUGGAUUCGUAUGGGCAAUCUGUGGUUAUCAAGUAUCAGCUACCCGACGAGGAUCUUGAUGCACUAGUGUCAGUUUCAUGUGCUGAUGAUCUUGACAAUAUGAAGGAUGAGUAUGAGAAGUUGGUGGAGAAAUCUCCAGAUGGGUCAGCAAAAUUGAGGGUAUUUCUUUUUUCUGCUUCAGACCUUGAUACAUAUGGUUCUGUAAAGUAUGGGGAUUUAAAUGAGAGUGGCCAGAGAUAUGUUGAUGCUGUGAAUGGGAUUUCGGAUGGGGUUGGUAGUGGUAUCAUGAGGAGGGAGAGUAUAACAAGUGCAACUUCAACUCAAAAUUCUGAUUAUAGUGGAAUUGAUGUUGUUGAUAGUUCCGUUCCUAGCCAGGGGGACAAGUUAUCCCCUAAAGGAGAUUUGACAAACUCUCAGGACACUGGUACAAGAUUGGGUUUUCCAGAUCCAAAUCCUGCAGUGGUUUCUACUAUUCCAUCAGGCAUUAAUGUGGUUAAGACUGGGCCUCCCCAAACAUCAUAUUCCCCCCCUGAGGUUGAGUUUGAAAGGACUGCUCCUGUUACAGUAUCACAGCAGCAACUGGGGUUGCAGCAACCUGGAAUUGACAUUCAGUCAACUUCUCCAUAUCUGCAAGCUUAUGUUAGCCCUCACCAGCUUCCUCCCCAUAUGGGAUUCCCAAACAAUCACCUGUUUGGGACUGCUGGUCCUGUCUAUACCCAACAACAAUUCCGUGAUAGUGGUGCUGGCAUGACCUCACAUCAUUUUGUUCCUGCUGUGCAUAUGACAAUGAGUCCAUCUUCUCAUGUUAAUAUGAGACCAAAUGUACUUCAGCCAUUGAUGCAACCCCAACAGACUCGAUUGGAUCAUCAUUAUGUGGAUGAAAGUGCCUUUUGUCCCAGAGUUGUCCAGCUUCCCGCUGAACAAAGCUAUAAUACAUAUCAGGUUCAGGUCCCCUCACCAGCACCAGGAGGUGCUUAUGGUUGGCAUCAGAUUACACCACAGGAGCAUGUGAUGUAUCGUGAUGGUUUGGUAUCGCACCAACAGGUAAUGUAUCCUGAGAAAUCCAACAGGUUGGAAGACUGCUUUAUGUGUCAGAAGGCUUUGCCUCAUGCACAUUCUGACCCGGUACCAGUACAGGGUCAGCGCGAUGGUGGUGCGAGUCCUGUAUCUGAUUCAGAUUCAAAUUACCAUGGUCUUCUUCUUGAGGAAAACUGGAGACCUCAGCCAACAAACAGGGUGUUGGUAAGUGGAGCAUUGGGGGAAGGUAAUUUAGGGCAGGGAGUUGAUAUUCGACCCAGAGUCCAAGGCCUGGUAGAUCCUCUUGGAACAUCACAUUCAGAUGGCGCAGGGAUAGUGCAGAAUUCUUCUGAGUGCAUAUAUGAGGAGAGAAAUUAUCUUCAUCAAGCGGAUCAUCCAAUGAUAUCAGCUCCCCAGGGCGUCAUGAGGAGGGCUGCCCCAGCCCAGUAUCAUGUUAAACAUGAAGAUUUGGUUAACACUCCAGUUAAUCAAGAAGUUCCACUUACUGGAGCCCUGAAUGUUCAAACUUCAGACCUGGUUCGCGAGUCUCCGCAAGUAUACUUUAAUAAAUUUCCAAAAGAAGAGAUGAUGGAAACAAUCAGGAUAAGCCCGUCAGAGGUUUAUGUUAAAAAUGAGCAUGCUAAGUCACCUAUUGAAACACCUAGAAGGGAAGACAGCUAUGAUCAACAACCACCACAACUUGCAGGAAGGGAGUUACCUGUAGAGAAUACCUUAGACAAGAAUCAGUUUGUUCCAACUGAAGUACUAGCUUCUUACACUACUGGAGCCCCACAAGUCCAUACUACACAACCAGUAGAAAUCAAUGAAACACCACAACCACCUGUGUGGGGAAAUCCUGAAUCUUAUCAGCAAUCAAGAAUUGGAUUCCCUGUGGAUUCUCAUGCAUUCCAUUAUGGAAACCCUGUUGUGUCCACCCCUCUACCUACCAGAACUCAACCUCCUGCUGAAAGGAGAAACGAGAACUUGAGAUUGCAUCCCAACAUGGUACAUACUGAUGUUGAAGUUGUUACCUUGAAUGGUAACAUGCCAUCUUCUUUCUCUCCACCUAUGAUAACAGUUGAUGUCCAAGACUCUUCAAACUCACUAUUCAGCGAUCAGGAUCCUUGGAAUUUGCGCCAUGACACUCAUCUUCCGCCUCCUAUACCUACCAAAAUACAAUUGAAAAAGGAACCCUGUACAAAUAGAGAUCUCUUUGGUGGCAAUGGUGCAGAACUAAAUACAGAAAUGCAAUUGGAGGAUGGAGGUCAGCCACUGGGUAAUUUGAACAAGGAUCUUAAUCCAGAUCAUGCCCAGUCUUCCAAAGGAUCAGCAGAGGAACAGAUUAAGCAAGACCUUCAAGCUGUUGCUGAGGGUGUAGCUGCCUCAGUUUUUAAGUCAUCUUCACUGUCAAAUCCGGUUUUUAAUGACAAAAAUGAGUCUGCAUAUGAUUCCAACCAAGAUGAAGGUCAAAUCAGCGUUUCAAGACGUCAAGACCAAAUGUCCAGAGAAGCCAAAUUUGGGGUUUUGGAUGUGAUUUCUUACUGUUUUUGGUAGAUUAUUAAGAAUGAUGACCUUGAAGAGCUCAGAGAAUUAGGUUCUGGAACAUUUGGUACAGUCUAUCAUGGAAAGUGGAGGGGCACUGAUGUUGCAAUCAAACGAAUCAACGAUAGGUGUUUUGCUGGGAAGCCUUCAGAACAGGAGCGCAUGAGAAACGAUUUCUGGAAUGAGGCCAUCAAUCUGGCUGACUUGCACCACCCAAAUGUGGUAGCUUUUUAUGGUGUUGUACUUGAUGGCCCAGGAGGUUCUGUGGCAACCGUGACAGAGUUUAUGGUUAAUGGUUCCCUUAGAAAUGCGUUGCAGAAGAAUGAGAAGAGUCUGGACAAGCGCAAACGCCUAUUGAUUGCAAUGGAUGUGGCAUUUGGAAUGGAGUACCUGCAUGGAAAGAAUAUAGUGCACUUUGAUUUGAAAAGUGACAAUUUACUGGUCAAUCUUCGAGAUCCACACCGCCCGAUUUGCAAGGUUGGUGAUUUGGGCCUAUCAAAGGUGAAAUGUCAGACACUGAUCUCUGGUGGCGUGCGAGGAACACUUCCUUGGAUGGCACCUGAACUUUUGAAUGGUAGUAGUAGCCUUGUCUCUGAGAAGGUUGAUGUGUUUUCUUUUGGUAUCGUACUGUGGGAGCUCCUCACUGGAGAAGAACCAUACGGGGACUUGCACUAUGGGGCUAUCAUAGGCGGUAUUGUGAGCAAUACAUUGCGGCCACCAAUCCCUGAGUCUUGUGAUCCAGAGUGGAAAUCAUUGAUGGAGAGAUGCUGGUCAGCAGAGCCAUCUGAGAGACUGAACUUCACUGAGAUUGCAAACCAAUUACGUGCUAUGGCUGCAAAGAUUCCUCCUAAAGUACAAGGCCAAGCACAGCAGCAACCGCCCUCGACGCAGCCUCAGGUUCAAAAGUGAUAUCCAUGCCAGACAUUGCCUGAUCAUCUCAGCUGUCUAU
Molecule: RNA transcript, 4174 nt
Organism: Fragaria vesca subsp. vesca
Lineage: Eukaryota; Viridiplantae; Streptophyta; Magnoliopsida; Rosales; Rosaceae
Exons: 10
Source: RefSeq, a predicted model, not a curated record